Marinobacter antarcticus is the source of this 361-nucleotide non-coding RNA. It matches the Rfam family "Bacterial RNase P class A". From Rfam's summary of the family: Ribonuclease P (RNase P) is a ubiquitous endoribonuclease, found in archaea, bacteria and eukarya as well as chloroplasts and mitochondria. Its best characterised activity is the generation of mature 5'-ends of tRNAs by cleaving the 5'-leader elements of precursor-tRNAs. The record is from Rfam. Lineage: Bacteria; Pseudomonadati; Pseudomonadota; Gammaproteobacteria; Pseudomonadales; Marinobacteraceae.
CGAGCUCGCCAGACAGUCGCCGCCGGUUUACCGGGGGAGGAAAGUCCGGGCUCCGCAGGGCAAGGUGCCAGGUAACUCCUGGGCGGCGUGAGCCGACGGAAAGUGCAACAGAAAGCAGACCGCCUAAGUGCUCGUGAUCAGUUCACGGGCGCCGGUAAGGGUGAAACGGUGCGGUAAGAGCGCACCGCGUGGCUGGCAACAGUCCACGGCGAUGGUAAACCCCACCUGGAGCAAGACCAAAUAGGAGUCCUAUGGCGUGGCCCGCGCUGGACUCGGGUAGGUUGCUUGAGGCCUGUGGUGACGCAGGCCCUAGAUGAAUGACUGUCCACGACAGAACCCGGCUUAUCGGCGAGCUCGCCUU